Molecule: long non-coding RNA, 1441 nt
Filed under: Salmo salar (Atlantic salmon)
Lineage: Eukaryota; Metazoa; Chordata; Actinopteri; Salmoniformes; Salmonidae
Description: lncRNA (ENSSSAG00000106107.1)
Source: RNAcentral
GAGGUCAAAUGUAUUUAAUUUCCCCAAUAUAAGAAAUUAAUAAAAGCUUUAAUACAAAACAUGGAUAUACGUUGAUGACUGUGAUUAUAGGAAACAAGAAUCUUUGUCACACAGGACAGUUGUGUACAACAGUGGGACUUACAGGGAAACUAUACAUUGGAAGUGUACACGUACAGUAUUACACAUUAUUUCACAUUUAUGUUGGACAUGUACCUAUUGUGCUACCAAAAUGAAGUAAACGACAAAGACAAAAACAGCAUGUAAGACCAGAGUGAACCGCAUUGCAGUUUUACCUCAACAGGUAUUGGACUAGGUCUUCCAACACAGUUACAGUGCAUUUCUACUGACUUGUAAAGUUGCAUUUCUAGAUGACUGAGUGUGUCACGAUGCACACAAUCUAACACGUUGUCCUAUUCACUGCAUUGCACUUUUAGAUUUCAGUUGAUGAAACACAAGACCAUCAUUAUUAUUGUAUAGCAUCGCUAGAUUUGCAGCAGCUACAUAAUAAUAAGCAUAAAUAUGCUCGUUGUCAAAUUAUUAACACAUCAUUUUCAGCCCAAACAUUGCUUUAGUUAUAGGGCGUGACAUGACAAUUCUGACCACAAAUAGAAUAUGUAUUAACAAGUGAUGAGAACAGCAUUUGGUUUUUUAAAAGCCAUUUAACAAACGCUCUUCAAAGUCAAAUCCAUUUGAUGAUGAUUGGCACAAGAAUGUAACGCGAGAAAAAUAACCCGUUGAUCUUGAAUCUUUCGACGUUUCUGUCUAGUGCGAAGCAUCUGUGCUGUAGUACAUCUACAUUCUGGUGAAUCUCACAACAACUAUUUAAUAGUAGUCUUUCCACAGUUAUACACAUUAUUGAUAAAGCUACUCUAAAUAAAUACUCAUCUCUUUAUAACUUUUAUCCACAAUUCCAGCAAUGCAAUCAUGCGACUAAUUCAUUUAUAAAGUAUUCUUUAAGGGUUCAUCAGUGAGGAUAUAUAUCACUUCACAAGAAGGGAUUUGGUAAGAUAAAUGAGGGAGACAAUGAGAAAGAGAGGGGGGCUGGAACACAGAUACCCAAGUUCUGGGGCCAAAUGCAAAGGUGACAGGGGGUCAUUGACUCCACAAAUACGGUUUUAUACACAAAAUAUGGACAUUAUGUCACAUUUUCUGCUGAGAGUACUUUUUCUGGGGUUUCAAUGAUGAACAUAGACUUAUCUGAAUAACUUAACAAAGUAACACAAGCCUUGAAAAAUAACAAGCUAUUUGGAAAAGGAAAGCUCUUGAUUUGUUAAUCAGUGUUUCAAGUUACUAUGGCUACAAUGUUAAGCAGUCUAACAGUCUUAGACUUAGUGCUUGGCAGGCACAGUCAUUUUUAUACCAUUUAUACAUGGAUAACAGACAUGUAAAAACAGUUCAACUGAAGACAGUUUAUCUGUACAAUGAAUACUCACAACCAAAA